Molecule: ribosomal RNA, 117 nt
Filed under: Oryzias melastigma (Indian medaka)
Lineage: Eukaryota; Metazoa; Chordata; Actinopteri; Beloniformes; Adrianichthyidae
Source: RNAcentral
UGGUACAGCCACACCACCCAGAACACCCGAUCUCGUCUGAUCUUGGAAGCUAAGCAGGGUUGGGUCUGGUUAGUAUUUGGAUGGGAGACCACCUGAAAAUACCAGAUGCUGUGAGGC